Molecule: unclassified non-coding RNA, 1621 nt
Filed under: Hevea brasiliensis (rubber tree)
Lineage: Eukaryota; Viridiplantae; Streptophyta; Magnoliopsida; Malpighiales; Euphorbiaceae
Source: RNAcentral
AAACUAAAAGAUAUAGGUAAAGUCAUUAAAACAAACCAAAAACAAAAUCAUUUUGAACGAUCAAAAGAACUGUGAACAAGAUUAAUUUGCAGUAUGAGAUCUCAUACUGUCGUACAGGAGAAACCAUAUUGCCAGGAGAAAAAAAAAAGACCAGUUGCUCAAGAUCCCAGAAAGAAUGAAAUAAGAUAUUUAUAAAUGACAUUAAACAUAAACCUUGAAAAGAAGUUGUAUUUUAUGUUAAUUUGAAGCCUGCUUAACAGGCCGUGCUACAUUGUACAGAACAAGACCCAAGACAAGGAUCAUGCUACCGAGCAGAAAAAAUGGGCUCAAACUUGCACCCUCAGGAAGAUAUGGCAAUGGAAGAGAUAACACAUAAAUUGAUAUUGGCACUGACAACAUUACAGCAAGAGAGGCAACAACUGCAGAAGAAAUUUUCACCAGAUUGAGCAAUGAUACGUUGAAAGCCAUAUUCAUAGUUACGUAAAGCAGUGGAAGCAAUGGAGCGCCAUUGCAGCCUGGUAUAUUUCUUCCAAUAUUCACUAAGCAACCAGCACCACUUUUCAUAUAUGAAGGAAGUUGAGCAAAGGGUAUGCCUUUUAAGUUUGACAAUAAAGGUAGGAGGAGGAGCACAAAAAGAGCCUGAAAUCCAGAACCAAAAGAAUUGACAACAAAUAUGUCAAGUGACUUUCCCUUUAAGCGUUUUGCAGCAUCCACAAAUAUAAAUUCCUUUAUGAUAGAUGCACCAGCUUGAAAAGCACUUGAUAUUAUCAUUACAGCCGGCCAGAUGAACUCAAAUCCAGAUAGCAUCUGAUCAGCACUGGAUCCGCUUGCAACAGCCACCACUACACCAAAAGCUACAAGCAUGCAGCCAGUUAUUUGCUUAAAUGAGUACCUUCUUCCCAAGAGAAGGGCAGAAAAUGCUAGUUGCCAAACCAAAAAUGUCUGACUCAAUAUGGGUAUAGCAGGUCCAGGAAGCAUGGCAGCAGCAGACAUUCCAGUUGCUACCCCAAGUGCUUCUAAAAUCCCAAUUGCCACAAACCGUGAUUUUGGAAGACCGAUCAUCUCACCAGUCACAAUUCCUGCACGGUACCGCAUAAACAAUAUCGAAAAGUAAAUCAUCACGUACCCGAAAGUGGUAAAUUGGGCUAAGAAGAAAGGAUACUGUUUCAUAGGGACAAGGGCGAGCUUGUAGAGCACCCGAUUUGCAACGGCUAAUGUUACGGUAAUCGCAGAGCUAAUAAGGACCAGUUUGCUGUUAUUGCUAGAGGAGGUGAAGUGCAGUACUGGUGGGGUUUCAUUUGACGCGCGAACGGUGAAAUUGGGGGUCUUGUGUGAGUUGCGAUUGAUGCGAAUAUCACCACCCCGGGUGAGUUUAGGAGACCUCCUAGAGAGUGGGGUCUGUGAUUGUGAAAGACGGAGACUGGGUUUUGUUGGGAAGGACAUUGAACCAUUAACGUUGUAGCUAUGGAGCCGAGUUGGGUAAGGGGAGAUAAGGGCAUUCAACGACGUCGUUUUGUACAGUAGCAUUUUAUCAGAGAAGGAAGGGCAAUAGAACAGCUGGUGUGGAGGGGAAGAAGAGAGGGAGAGUUAAACAUGUGGUGUGGUCAAAUUAACAUGGGUU